CGGCAUGCUUAACACAUGCAAGUCGAACGAAGUCUUCGGACUUAGUGGCGCACGGGUGAGUAACGCGUGGGAACCUGCCCUGAAGUGGGGAAUAACCACUGGAAACGGUGGCUAAUACCGCAUACGCCCUGAGGGGCAAAGGCUUCGGCCGCUUUAGGAUGGGCCCACGUCCGAUUAGCUUGUUGGUGGGGUAAUGGCCUACCAAGGCGACGAUCGGUAGCUGGUCUGAGAGGAUGAUCAGCCACACUGGGACUGAGACACGGCCCAGACUCC
This 273-nucleotide ribosomal RNA is filed under the name uncultured bacterium. RNAcentral's name for it is "partial 16S ribosomal RNA". It matches the Rfam family "Bacterial small subunit ribosomal RNA", at positions 40 to 339 of the family's 1533-position model. The record is from RNAcentral.